Molecule: small nucleolar RNA, 131 nt
Organism: Jaculus jaculus (lesser Egyptian jerboa)
Lineage: Eukaryota; Metazoa; Chordata; Mammalia; Rodentia; Dipodidae
Source: Ensembl
AAGCCAGGCAAUUAAUCUGUUUGUCUGAAUGUGUUUUCACAGAAAUUUGGAAACAGCUGGCAAUAGUGAUGCCAUUUUAUGAGGCUUAAGGACAACUGAGGUCAUUACUGUCCUUCAGAAUGGCUACAAUA